Molecule: long non-coding RNA, 2519 nt
Organism: Psammomys obesus (fat sand rat)
Lineage: Eukaryota; Metazoa; Chordata; Mammalia; Rodentia; Muridae
Exons: 3
Source: RefSeq, a predicted model, not a curated record
UUGUGAGUCAGCAUAUGUGUGUGUUUUUAUGUAUGUGUGUUAAUAGUUUGUGUACUUACGCAUGUGUGCUGAACCUUAUUUGCACAUUACUGUCCCUAUCUAUGUUGUGUGUGUUUGCAUGUGCUCAGGUGUGGGUCAGUCCUUGGUACUAUGUUGCAUGUAUGUGUAGAGGUGAGUGCUUGUGUAGGUGUUUGUGUUGGGUGCUUGUAUGUGAAAGUGUAUGUGUGAGUGUCAGUGUGUGUUUUUAUGUGUGAAUUUGUGUGUGUGUUUCUGCAUAAACAUAUGUUGAUUUGCUCUUGAAACAUCUUAAAUGAUGAAAGAGACCAGCUUUAAUGAGAAAAUGUCAGGUUGACUGACUUUUCAGACAUCAAACCUCACAUGCUGCUGCCCAUCUUUCUGCAUUCCCAACUUUUGCUUAGAACAAAGGACACAAAAGCUGCUGUAAGUCAUAGACUUUGUAGAGGCAAGAAUACAUAUCUUCAAAGAAAUCCUACAAGGAGGUGCGGAGGAGGCUGCUAUACAAAACAAGGUGCUUGAGAGUCUGGAAAGGCUGGCUAAGGGUCUGUGUGCUUUUUCUGCUCUUGAUGAAUAGUGACUGUCCACGGGACAGUGGGGUGGCUUUCUGUGUCUUCCCUGCAUCCUGUUUUGUUGUCAUCAUUGCCAGCAACCAUUUUCUUUCCUCCUUCACCUAACCUUGGCUCAGUAAACAAAGGCCUUGGAGCUUGGCCUGGAUUUUAUGCAUUGAGAGAUUUUGAAUGGUUGCUUCUCAGUUCAGCAGAAAUCCCAUAGCAAUGCUGAAGUUUGUGUACAGGGCUGUGUCAGUGCAGCCCCCUUAACCUCAUGAAAGUCUAAAGCAUUCAUCCUGUGCCAUGUCUACAGCACUGAGUAACUGCUUUUAUUCUAAAUCACUCAAAUAUAAUCCAAAAUGAUCCUUAAGAGGGUGGGGAGAAGUGAGGACCCCAGACAUUGCUGGUGGUGUAAAAUAAGGUAGUCCUGUCAAAGGCCAUGAAUAAUAUUUCAACAUCCUGAACUGCAGUCACAAGGUGACCCAGCAAUUCCAGAACUAGAAGUAGGUGUCCACAGAUAAAACAGAAGGCAUCAGGGUUGUAACAGUCUUCUUCAUAGCAGCCACAAGUUGAAACUUUCCAGGUGUCCAUUAGCUUAUAAGUGUACCAUAUCAUCCACCCUUCAUGGAAAUAUUGUUCAUCAUGAAAUAAAGACACUCAAGAUCAUUUGGCCUGGAGUUAAUCAGCCUUCUAUUACUCAAAAAGAUCUCCGAUCGUGUCAUCCUAGAGGGAGAACAUUUUUUUAUGUCUUAGUUGUGGAGAUUUUCUCAUUUCAUAGGCUCACUGUUUGGGUUCAAAGCAAUGCAGGCUAUGAAUAAGGGAGCUCCAUUAGUAGGAAGCUGCUCACCUUAGAACAACUGGGAACAAUUGGGACAGAAUAAGGAGCUGGUUCACCAGGAUCCCCAGGUCUCGGGCUGGGGAAAAAACAAUAUUGCAAGCCUUGGGAACUUGCUAUGUAGGCUUGGCUAAGUGGCCAAGACCCAGUGGGUCCACAUGUCUACACAGAAGGUUUAGGAAAAGUACUUUAUCCACUGAACUGUCUAUAUCCCAUGUCCACUAAUUUCUUAUCCCUUCUACAGAAAGUUAACAUUGUUCUAUAUAGGAUCCCUGGUGAUCUCUUACAUUAGAUACCUGGUGAUCUCUUACAUUACUGGUAAAAUUAUUAAGUUACUGCAAUGCAGUAUAGUUGUAUGUGAGAACACAUGUAUUUCUGUGUGCUCAGGAGUUUGUGUGUGUGUGUGUGUGUGUGUGUGUCAAUGUGCAAAGGUGCUUUUGCACAAUCAUGUUCACAGCACCUCUGAAUACAAUCUUCUAAAAAAAACAGGAACUAAAAGCAAUAGAGAAAAGAAUUAAGUACCUACUGGAGCCGAAAAUGCUGCCAACUCUGGAAAGGGACUUGGCAGAAAAGAUGCAGCAUCACACUGAUGUCAUUGAGAUGAGGUCUGAAAUACUCCAGUCUGACCUGGAAAGAGCCACAGCCCAGAAAGAGAGCUCCCCACAGACAGAGCUUCUGCAGCCAGACAACUGAGUUUUCCCAGGCAAUUGAGCGACCAUCCCAUCCCAUCCUCAGCAACUCUGGCAAUCCUGGCUCCCUUGAUAGAACUGAGGAGAAAGAAAGAAAGAAAGAAAGAAAGAAAGAAAGAAAGAAAGAAAGAAAGAAAGAAAGAAAGAAAGCCACAGAGAAGUUGAACACAACAUUUUUUCCUCUAUGAUCCAGGGCUCCUCAAAAAAAAAAAAAAAUCCAAUAUCAACUGACUUCAUGUGCAUGCUGCUAAAUCUCAAGCAAGAGAAUGUUGCUUAGCUUAAUUUAUUGUUUGAAUUUUGGGUUUAGAUUUUUUUGGUUUUGGUUUUUUGUGUUCUUUGGUUUGAGGUUUUGUUAUUCAUUUGUUAUUUCAUUUGAUGAUUUUAUUGACUUGCUAGUUUGCUAAGGCUAUAUUCUGUCUGUAAUGCCUG